Dermochelys coriacea (leatherback sea turtle) is the source of this 575-nucleotide long non-coding RNA. RefSeq lists it as uncharacterized. The transcript is spliced from 4 exons. The record is from RefSeq and is a predicted model, not a curated record. Lineage: Eukaryota; Metazoa; Chordata; Testudines; Dermochelyidae.
GUAAUUUAAAAUGUGACUAUUCUUGCAGAAAGAGAGCACCUGAACAUGAGACCUGGUAUAAAAGGCCUAAGGUAAUGCCUAAAGCCCAAACAGAGUUAAGCCCUGCUAAUAUAAAGCAGAGUUAGCAGGAGUCAGGUGCUGCCCUGUUACAAAGCAGAUGCCUGCUUGCAGGUUCACUAUACUAUUCUGAUACAUGAACUUGGCAAGAAGAGGGCUGGCUUUGCAAAAAAAUACAAGCACUCCUAGACACUAAGUAUUCACAUAAACACAUCCCAGGUGGUUAGUAUCAGAACACCCCAAUACAAAGUUAUGGUAUAAACACACUCCCCAAAGAGGAUAUAGGGACACACCGCUAAAGGUCAGGAUGACAGACAGAGAUGUUUUGAUCAAACCAACAUAUACAAGGUCAAGGGUGGUAACUAACCACAUCAGAGGGGCCAUACAAAACAUGUUUGUAUCUGUGUAUAAAAGAGGAGUAACAGAGGGGGUGUCUUCAUCUGGCCGAGUGUCUUUGCUUCUGAAACCAGUCUGUGGUUUUCUUGGGCAGUUUAACUGAGGUCUGCUGUAUCAGCUAU